AAGUUGAUGUUUUAUAGAUUAAAGCGAAGAAAAAAAACAUGUUAAAACUAAAAUUUUGUAAACAGGACUUUACCCCACAAUUAUUUUUUUAAAUUGAGGUAAAAAGUAGCGCAAUUUUGAAAAUUCAAAAAUACAGUUGAUGAGGAUCGAACCCAUGAUCAAUACCACUUUUCCCCCCGGGUAUUCAAAAAUUGAGGGGUAAAAUGAUAGGUUUUCAUGUUGUCAUUCAUUACCUCGCUUCUGUAACCGAGGUUAUAUCCUUUUAGCAUCCAAGGUGAAAUAGGAUUAUUUGUAGUAGUGAUUCUAUAA
This 309-nucleotide long non-coding RNA is filed under the name Lathyrus oleraceus (garden pea). Its description in RNAcentral is "Pisum sativum (pea) long non-coding RNA (PSAT_LNC014223)". Lineage: Eukaryota; Viridiplantae; Streptophyta; Magnoliopsida; Fabales; Fabaceae. The record is from RNAcentral.